AACGAACGCUGGCGGCAGGCCUAACACAUGCAAGUCGAGCGGGGGAGCAAUCCCUAGCGGCGGACGGGUUAGUAACGCGUGGGAACAUACCCUUUGGUACGGAAUAGCCUCGGGAAACUGAGAGUAAUACCGUAUGUGCCCUUCGGGGGAAGGAUUUAUCGCCAAAGGAUUGGCCCGCGUUGGAUUAGGUAGUUGGUGGGGUAAUGGCCUACCAAGCCUACGAUCCAUAGCUGGUUUGAGAGGAUGAUCAGCAACACUGGGACUGCGACACGGCCCAGACUCCUGCGGGAGGCAGCAGUGGGGAAUAUUGGACAAUGGGCGAAAGCCUGAUCCAGCAAUGCCGCGUGAGUGAUGAAGGCCUUAGGGUUGUAAAGCUCUUUACCCGGGAUGAUAAUGACAGUACCGGGAGAAUAAGCUCCGGCUAACUCCGUGCCAGCAGCCGCGGUAAUGUGACUACUG
RNAcentral lists this ribosomal RNA (459 nucleotides) under uncultured bacterium. RNAcentral's name for it is "bacterial SSU rRNA". It matches the Rfam family "Bacterial small subunit ribosomal RNA", at positions 29 to 534 of the family's 1533-position model. The record is from RNAcentral.